CCAUUGGCUCUCCUAAGAGCCAAUGCAUACUCAAGAGUACGUUCUA
Non-coding RNA from Chlorocebus sabaeus (green monkey), 46 nucleotides. Lineage: Eukaryota; Metazoa; Chordata; Mammalia; Primates; Cercopithecidae. The record is from Rfam.